RNAcentral lists this unclassified non-coding RNA (386 nucleotides) under soil metagenome. RNAcentral describes it as "partial contains 5.8S ribosomal RNA, internal transcribed spacer 2, and large subunit ribosomal RNA". The stretch from base 1 to 120 matches the Rfam family "5.8S ribosomal RNA", at positions 35 to 154 of the family's 154-position model. The record is from RNAcentral.
GAUGAAGAACGCAGCGAAAUGCGAUAAGUAAUGUGAAUUGCAGAAUUCAGUGAAUCAUCGAAUCUUUGAACGCACCUUGCACCCUUUGGCAUUCCGAAGGGUAUGCUCGUUUGAGUGUCAUUGUACUCUCACACUCUCCGAUCCUAUGGAUUCGGGGAGCGGUGGACUUGGGUGUUGCUGCCUUUCCUUGUGGCUCACCUCAAAUGUGUCAGUGCACCUCUUGGUUGGACAUAGUACGGCGUGAUAAGUGUCUUCGCCGGCACCUCGCAAGAGGGUGGCCGAUCGGGAGCUCUGUGCUUUCAAACCGUCUUCGGACAAUUUCUGACAACUUGACCUCAAAUCGAGUAGGACUACCCGCUGAACUUAAGCAUAUCAAUAGCGGAGGA